Long non-coding RNA from Nanorana parkeri, 588 nucleotides. RefSeq lists it as uncharacterized. Lineage: Eukaryota; Metazoa; Chordata; Amphibia; Anura; Dicroglossidae. The transcript has 3 exons. The record is from RefSeq and is a predicted model, not a curated record.
UGAGUCAGGACUAGAGUAGUCUCUAUGCAGAGGUCCAAUGCCUAGCUGAGUCAGAGUUUAGAGCAGUCUCUAUGCAGAGGUCCGAUGCCUGGCUGAGUCAGAGCUUAGAGCAGUCUAUAUGCAGAGGUCCAAUGCCCAGAUGAGUCAGGACUAAAGCGGUUUCUAUGCAGAGGUCCAAUGCCUAGCUGAGUCAGGACUAAAGUGGUCUCUAUCCAGAUGUCUGAUGCCUAGCUGAGUCAGGACUAGAGCAGUCUCUAUGCAGAGGACCAAUGCCUAGCUGAGUCAGAGCUAGAGAAUCUCUAUGCAGAGGCCCAAUGCCUAGCUGAGUCAGGACUAGAGCAGUCUCUAUGCAGAGGGCCAAUGCCUAGCUGAGUCAGGACUAGAGCAGUCUCUAUGCAGAGGCCCAAUGCCUAGCUGAGUCAGGACUAAAGUGGUCUCUAUCCAGAAGUCUGAUGCCUAGCUGAGUCAGAGCUAGAGCAGUCUCUAUGCAGAGGCCCAAUGCCUAGCUGAGUCAGGACUAGAGCUGUCUCUAUGCAGAGGUCCAAUGCCUAGCUGAGUCGGAGCUAGAGCAUUUCUAUGCAGAGGUCC